AAAAAAGGUAAGCUACUAAGAGCGAAUGGUGGAUGCCUUGACUGGUAAAGGCGAUGAAGGACGUACUAGACUGCGAUAAGCUACGGGGAGCUGUCAAGAAGCUUUGAUCCGUAGAUUUCCGAAUGGGGCAACCCAAUGUAUAGAGAUAUACAUUACCUAUAUAGGAGCGAACGAGGGGAAUUGAAACAUCUUAGUACCCUCAGGAAAAGAAAUCAAUAGAGAUUGCGUCAGUAGCGGCGAGCGAAAGCG
This 249-nucleotide ribosomal RNA is filed under the name Campylobacter jejuni. Its description in RNAcentral is "partial 23S ribosomal RNA". It matches the Rfam family "Bacterial large subunit ribosomal RNA", at positions 1 to 261 of the family's 2925-position model. Lineage: Bacteria; Pseudomonadati; Campylobacterota; Epsilonproteobacteria; Campylobacterales; Campylobacteraceae. The record is from RNAcentral.